UAAACUAAAUCUACUUUAUAAAAAUUUAAUUUUCACUUAUUUCAAACUUCUACCACUAUACUAAUUUACUAUAAAUUUUAUAAUUUUUUCUAUUUAAAUACUUUAACCCCCAUUAUAUGUAUUCAUAUUAAAACUAUUUUUAUUAAAUUUAUAUUAUUAAUUUUUAAUUUUAU
This 173-nucleotide ribosomal RNA is filed under the name Arhopala anthelus. Its description in RNAcentral is "partial 16S large subunit ribosomal RNA". Lineage: Eukaryota; Metazoa; Arthropoda; Insecta; Lepidoptera; Lycaenidae. The record is from RNAcentral.